CUUGUCUCUGUAGGCAAGCAGUCUGCAUGUUAGCAGGCACAUGAAUCAAUCAAAAUACUUUUUGAUUGAUAUAUACGUGUACUGAGAGGAGAACCAUGUUAAAGAAUCACAGUGUGUGAUGUUAUAUUUCGUUUCCUGCUAAACUCCGAGGUUGCAUUCAUUUCCUUGAACAAAUGUUUGAACCUUUUGUUGUAAAUUUGUAGAUUGAAUUUAGUUGUCACAACUUUUUUGGUUGUUGCUUGCCUGAAUGAAAUCAGUAGACAUUAUUCAGAUAACUGAAUUAGACGUUGUUGUGUGUAGUCUUUGUUGGAAAUACAUACUGUACCGACAGACAAAUGAAGUUCACUGAGAAAUCUAUGGUUUUGACCAAGACGAGGAUUGAGUACUCUUAUCUCAUUCAUCAUUACAAGUUGUAUCUUUCAGAAUUAGGUGUUCGUACAGUUACCAUUUACUGUAUAUUAUUUUCUACAGUAACUGUCAGGAUUAGGUGUUUGUUGGUAAUAUAAAAUGAUAGAUGUAUAGAGUUCACCGAGAAAUCCAAGGUUAUGAUCAAGAUGAUAGGUUAAAAAUUAAGGAUCAAGUACUCUUGUCUCAUUGAUCAUUACAAGUUGUAAGAUUCAGGAUUAUCUCAUGCAGUGUUUAUCAAUAUCCAGGAUUAGGAAAAAAAAUGUACUCCUAUCUUGCAACUUUGUUUCAGCUUCAGGCAAAGUGCACAGUUAAGAACCUCAUGCUGCUGUGAGAGAAACUUAGAACAGUCUUUACUAUCUUUUUUUUUUCUUGACAAUCGUAUCUUGCCUGAAUCAAUUCAGUGCUCAUGUUCAGAUAACUGAAACUAGACACUGUCUUGUAGUGGAUGUAUAGAGUUCACCAAGAAAUCCAAGGUUGUGAGCAAGACGGCAGCUUUAGAAUUGAUGAUCAAGUACUCUUAUCUCAUUUAUUACUACAAGUUUUACGAUUCAGGAAUAGAGCGUCUAUCCGUGGCGCGGCCGCCUCCUUCCCCUCCCUCCACCACACGCUGCCUGCCGGAUCUCGCCGUUGAGCGCAUCGGCCCGCCGUCUCCAACCACCCCCGUCUCUGAUCCGAGCUGAGUACAGGGGAGCCACAGCUGCCACCGAGGACAAGGUCGCCUGUGGAAACCACCGCUACCUCCGGUCCUUCGAUCUCUCCCCUUCUCGCCACUCCUCACGGCCCGCUCCGCACGGCUCGGCCUUCUCGGCGGGGAUUUGCUCUUUGGCGAAGAGAGGCGGCUGCAGGCGCCAUGGUGCCGAUCCAGUCAUCGUUGGUAUUCAAGUUGCCACCUAACAAAUCUGUUUUUAUUUCUUAUUAGGUACCUCGAAGGUCAAGAGACCAAGGUAUCGUGAGGAGUGCAUAUGGCCUGAUGUUCCUUGUGUGUAUCAUGAGGAUUUGGGAGCAUCGGCGAUGGACAAUUAACUAGCUAGGUCAUGGUAUUACGAUGAGCCAGGUCAUGGUACACAGGCUAACUACACAAGCUUCUGCUGUUUUAUUGUUGGUCGUUCCCGUCCACUGCUGCCAACAGUCAAUUUUCUGCAGGGUUUUUAUUUCUUUCUCUUCCAUCGAAAGCUCCUUUUUGCCACUGAUUAAUUAGUUGAUGCAUGUGGAGAUUUUCGAUACUAGGAGAACCAAGUUUAAAUAUGUGCAAUUCCAUCUAUCUAGCAUCAAUGUCGGGUGAGGUUAGACUACAAGAAAGACUAGAUAUUAAGCUUGUCCAUUCUGUCUACACCUUUUGAAUCUGAAGUGACUACUGUUGUAAAUAAUGCUACUUGAGUACCUGGUUGAUUGGUUUUGUUUAUUGUGGCAUUGAGUAGCCUACUACAUUAGUGGUGUCAGCUAUAUUUUGUAAGUUUGUUAUCGAUUCCAUUUGGGUAUAUGUGUGUGUGAUUGAAAAAUAAUGGUUUAGAUAUGAAUUGCUACAGUUUUAUAUAAUACUCUUUGAUCUAUGCUGCUAGGUCUGCCGCUGCGUGCAUGACAACAUGAGGUGCCGCAAUCGGCGUGGUAUGCUGGUGGAUGAUGGCGACAGUGAGAUGGUUGGCAAGGAUUAUGAGAGGUCGGCGAGCAGCACUCCUUCCUCUCUUCCCUGUGGAGAAGAUGACCUGCAGCUCAUUGACUGCUGAGUUCCCUCGAGUCUCUCUUUCUUCCGGCAAGUAUAUAUCAUCUAUGGAGUUGGAAUUUCACCAGUUGCUCCAGAGCACAAAAACACAAUAACAGUUGGGAGGGUUGCUUUGUAUCCCUAGACCCACACCCACACCCGACCGCCAUCUCCCAUUUUCCUCAGUAUCGCGACCUGAUGCGACGUUGGCAGCGCAAUCAGUCGGAGGAGGCCAGCGGUGGCGAUGACGGCUCUGCGGUGGGGAAAGGUCGCUCGUCAUCGUGGCACCAGCAAUUCCACGAUCGCAUAAUACCCGCAUGUUGAUGACCUCCAGGACUCUCCGGCCUCCUCCCUCCAGGCGUACUAUUGUUCAAGAUAGUGUGUGUGACAUAUGUGGGAACGGGGAGGAAGAUGAAUAUCAUGUUGUUAUAUCAUGCACAAAAAGUAAGGCGUUCAGAUUUGCCAUGAGGAAAGAGUGGAGGCUUCCAGAAGAAAAGGAGUUCUGGUACACUGGAACAGACUGGCUACAAAUCCUACUGGACAAGUAUGAUUCAGAGAUAAGAAAGAAAAUUCUGCUGUUGUUAUGGAGAGCCUGGUUUCUACGAGAUAACUGUAUCCACAGUGAUGGCAAAGAAACCAUUUCGAGAUCGGUGAUGUUCCUUGUGCAGUAUGAGGAGGAAAUCAGGAAUUUGUCGCUAUCUGUUGUUGGACAGGGGAACAAGAGUUGCUGGUCCCUGUCUGCAUCUAUGCAGACACACCACACCUAGGAAUCAGCCGAACGCCGAGCCAAAUGCCCAGUGGAAAGAGCCGCCUGAAGGUGUUGUAAAACUGAACACUGACGCUGCCUUUUUGUCAGGCACGGGCCAAGCCUAGGCUGGCGCGAUCGCACGGGAUCAUACGGGGCAUGUUGUCUUCUCGGCGAGUAAAUCGAUGAAUAAAUGCAGAUCAGUUGAAGAGGCAGAGGGGCAAGCUAUCCUGAUGGGUCUGGUAUCGCUGUCGAGACACUGUACCAAGGCCCACUGAUCAUUGAGACUGACAUCAAAAUGAUUGCAAAUGAAUUGGGACAAGCCAGAUCAAGCCGAUCGGAUUGUUUUCUGGGUUGUCAGUGAGAUAAAAAACACAAGCCGGAUCUUCAGUUCAGUUCAGGCCAAGGCCAUGAAAAGGGAACAAAACUGUCUAGCACAUGAGCUUGGCUGCCAGAGCUAGACGGCAUGAGGACUCACUGAUAAUUGCGGACGUGCCCGAGGAGCUUCGUUCGCUGAUGCUAUCUGAAUGUACCAAGUGAUGUGUUUGGUCCUUUUUUAGGCUAUCUUGAACGAUUGCAGGUUUUAAUCAAGAAGUCCUCAAUAGGUGGACUGGCUCAAAAUGGAGAAGCACGCUGGUAGCUUUUUGGUUGAUUGUAUUAAGCAUUUAAGUUCGUAGCAAUUCAUACCAUCAAUAUCUUUGGGGUGCCUUGUACUCCUUCCGUAAAAUAAUACAAGAGCGUAGUGAUCUAAGCGCUCUUAUAUUAUAGUUUACAGAGGGAGUAAUAUUUUAGAAAUUGUGCCUUUUUUGGCCUAAUGUGGCGUGCUGUCCAUAGACAUCCUUACCCCAUUUCCUCCUCACAUAUGGCUUGGGUUUUGGGAUAGCAAGACAUACGAAGACAAUUUGGGGGUGCCGAUUCUCUCUCUCCCUCUUGCUAAUAGAAUUAUGAACAACCGGUAAGACUAAUAUUAUAGACCAUGUAUUCUUUGACUUUUGUGCUAACACAGGAAAAAUGUGUUGUAAA
This is a long non-coding RNA of Aegilops tauschii subsp. strangulata, 3875 nucleotides long. RefSeq lists it as uncharacterized. NCBI's taxonomy places the organism in Eukaryota, Viridiplantae, Streptophyta, Magnoliopsida, Poales, Poaceae. The record is from RefSeq and is a predicted model, not a curated record.